GAAAUGUGAUAGAUGAGAACUUCUUCAUUGCGGCUAACAUGCUCAUAAGAGCACCUGAUGGUGAGCUAAGAAUGAUUUAUCCGGGCUAUACAACUGAACUUCCUCUCCCUUGUGAGAGACGUCGGUUGUAUAGGGUUCGCACACUAACCGUCAGACUAGCCCGAGCGAGAAGUCAGAAUGUUGCAGGUACAUGUAGGAUGACAAGGAGGAUGGCGCAAGCCGCCCAAAUGGAUCAAGGAGGUCCUUCGCGCUUUGACGUCGAGGAGGGUGAGGAGGCUAUGUCCAUGGAUGCUUCAGAAUCCAUGGGACUGCCACCUAAUCCUCCACCACAUACUCCUCGCCCAAGGGCAAGAGCCAGGCGUCGCCAGCCCUCAGGUAUGGAUAUGCUAAUUAAUAGCAUGGGUGAACUACAGAUAGAUCAAGAGGCGACCCUGCAACUAGCAAAUCAGAAUGUCCAACAUAUCCGACGUGUGCGCGAGGAAGAUGCACAACGCUGGGCCGGAUGGUUCCAGCAGUUUCCGCCGCCACAGUGAGCAAAGACCAAGCUUGGGGGAGAUCCUCUCCCCCACCAAGGUAAGUCUUCUAACUUAGCAUUAUCUUGCAUUUAUUCUUAAUUUAAAAAGAAAAGAAUCAAUAAUUUAUAUCCUACUUAGUAUUUCCCUUUUUCAACCACGAUUAGUAUUUCCCUUUAUCACAUGUGCUUCAUGAAUGUUUGUCUUCCUCAUGGAAAUGAUGACUAGUUGCUUGUUACUAUUUCUCUAGUACCUAGUACACAACUUAGUAUUUCUCUAAGUAUGGAUCACUUAGCUGAUUUAAACCACCAUGAACCUAAAAACUUUGUGGGUUGCAAGUGCUAGAACUAAGUCUAAGUUGUUGUGGGACAUGAGAUAGUAAGACAAGAGCUGCUAAAAUAUUGUUCUAAGCAUGCAUGAUUACCAGAGAUUUAUUUCUAAAAUGAUCAAAACCUUAAUUGUUCCUCAAUGGUGAUGAAUUCCUACCACAAGCCACAUCUACUUUACAUGAUUGCAACCUCUCCACAUAAGCUAUUUGCUUUGUGUUGAUUGUCGUCAAGUCUUGUUGACCCUUGUUAAGAGACUUUUCAUACUUCUAAGAUCAAGAUCACGUACACACCACAUAUAUAUGCUACUUCUACACUGGAAGUACGCAACCACAUGCCUUUCGCAUCCACUAAAUAGGUUGCUCCAUGCUCUAAAUAUUAGAACAUCUCUCUAAGCAAUGUUUGGUAAAUGAGACAUCAAAAGGCUAGGCAAAAUGAAAUGAAAAGAUGGACAUGAACAAGUCCACAGAAAAAAAGAAGAAAACUGAGCACAUGAAAGCUCAUAAGAAAAAAAAUAAUAAUAAAGAAAAAAAAAUGCUAGCCAUGUCUCAAUAAAGGAAUAGAGAGAGUAUAUCAAAUAAAGGAGCAACCUAGCCCACCAUAUAUCACACACUUGCACAUCUUGAUCUGGGGGUAUGACACUUGUUUUCAAGGAUCCAAGCUUUGACUUCGCAGCACAUGCAAAGUAAGUAUGCUAUCUCUUUUCAUCCCUACCUUGAGCUCCACAUAAGCCUUUUAGAAGUAGGAUGAAUAGAGAAGGCAACUCUUAUCAUAUGCCUUGGUGAGAAUUCAUACACCAUUUGAGCGACAUGAGAGAACCAUAUGAGGAACAUUAGGUUUUCUUUUAAAAAUAUUACAAAACCUCUGGUAUGAAACUUGCUAGGAAUGAGAAAGUUAGUGCUUAAGUCAAACUGUUCUGUCUUUCAACCACCCAAGACAAAGGAAAAGCCAUAAGCCCCAUAAAGGACUAAGGUAAUACGGGUGAGUUUACAUAGCUAAAUUUUUCAUGCUAAGAGAAGAACUUUGUUGUACACAUAGUACUCUUGAAAUAUGAACAUAGUAACAAUACCUGAUCCAACCGAGGCUAAGUUUGAUUGUUUGCUCGGGACGAGCAAAGGUUAAGCUUGGGGGAUCUUGUUGACGGUGGUUAUACCCUAUAAAUCCACACUCAAAACACCGUCAACACGCCUCGGUUGCAAGAAAGAUCAACAUGUCAUGAGCAUAUUUUAUCAAUAACCAGUUCCACUUGUACUCUUAGCUUGUUUAUGCAGGACUUAGCAAUUUAAGGACAAAACUGUACAAAACCAACAUCAUAACAUUGAAGUGGAGAUCAAAUUGAGUAGGGCUGACGCCCUGGACCCACCAAGUGGGGGUCGGCCGACCCCUGAGUUGUGGGACCCAGGGGUCCCACCUACUCCACCGACAUAGCCAUGACACAGGGACCCUGUAGGUGGGCCCACCCUGCCAGAAGUGGGGUCGGCCGACCCCUACAUGUGGGCCCCACUAGGUCGGUUUGCUCCCACCGACCUUGCCCACAUGUUGCACGUGAUGGUUUGCCCCUGCCGUCGAUCAUAUGGCGGUUGUGAAGUCGGUUUGAUCCAAGGGUGGAGAAGCAAUGUCACGCGGAUCGAUGACGUGGCGAUGGAGUAGCCCCUACUCCACCUCUCACUAUAAAAGGCAGCCUCCAUCCACCAUUUCAAAGGGUGUAUUCCAAGUCCAAGGUUCCAAAUGUAGUCCCAAGCAUACAAGCUUAGUGUAGUUAGUCUAGAGUGGGAGUUAGAGUCGAGUCGAGCGAAGCUCGGGGUCUCCGGAGUCGUCUUCUGGAGAGUUUGGUAUAGCUCUUGUACCUUUUCUCUUUUGUAAGACUUUCUUUUAUCAAUAUAGCAUUCUUACUUUACUUUACUGAGUACUUACUUAGUGCAAGUCUUUUAUAGUCUUGUUGUGCUCUUAUCUUAGUAAUAUAGUUGUCUUAGUUAGAGUGGCGACCUGUAAACAACUCCUUGUGUGUGCAUCAUCGUCCGAAAGGAGCUUUAGCUAUCAGCGCGUUAGCUAGAGUUGUAAGAGUAAGUGUAAGCGUGGUGCUUAUACUUAAUCUUAUCUUUGAUUACCGCUGGCCUGGACGGAAAGUAGGAGCGCACUCCCUAGUAGGUGACAGAUCGUGGGCGGCAUUAGGUUCUCCUCACGUACAGGCUAGUUCUUAAAAGGUAAGGCGUCCAUAAGCCCAAUAGUCGCUUUCGGUAAGGGGUUAGGUGAAAAACCUUUUAAGCGUCUUACCAGCUCGGCUAUCCCUCGCACACAGUAGUAAGGCACUAAUCUAGCUAAGUCAGUUAUCUAUUAAGUUAAGUCACAGAAGUUAAGUUAAGAUAAAUAGGAGUCCUUUACUCACUCGUUGUCCUCCCACCUAGCUAACACUACCAGUUAUCUUUAGGAUCUUGGAAUCACCACUACCCUUCCAAUCAUUUAUUCGUCACCCCUAUUCACUAGUUAAAUACUAAAUCUUAGUAGACACAAGGAUCUCAUUCCCCUUUUGUUAAACACUCUUAGUCGCUUUCCCUUGGGAAAAUAUAAAUUACGAUACCUCGGAAUACUCCUAGGUGAAGUGCUACAGCGGUAUAUUCUGUGCGCUUGCGGAAUCAUCCAAUAGUUAAUAGAGUUACCCCUAACGACACUUCUAGCGCCGUUGCCGAUUUCCGGUGGUUGCGUUAAGAAGUGUCAACAAGCAUUUCUGGCGCCGUUGCCGGGGAGAGCGUCUGUCUAAGAGUUUUAACAAAAGAGAAUCCGGAGUCUACUAACAAUUUAGUUAUCAAUCAGUGUUAGGGGUUAUCCCCGCCUGUCUUGUUUUGUGUUUUCAUGAAACUAGCAGGUGAAAGAGCGGUUUCCAAUCAUCAUCAAACUUUGUUGAAGAUCAUGAACAAUUGAUGAGGAGAACCAGAUACCGUCAGAUUUCACCUCAGAGGUUCACCUCAGAUUAGAAUCCGCUCCAGGAAGGAUGUCCAGCACCCGUUAUUAAGGAAGCUGUGGCCGCCCAAAAGGCCAGCUCUGAGUUCUCUGCGCCGUUGGCUGACUAUGUCGCCACGGGUCGGCAGAUUUACUUGGGGAUGCGACUUUUGAGCUUAAGCCGAUGCUUAUCAAUAUGGUGCAAGCAAAUCCACUCCAUGGGAAGCCACAUGAGGACGCCAAUACUCACUUCCAACACUUCUUCGAGGUAUCGACAGACAUCCAUCUCGUCUUUUUCUCCUAUUCUUGUGAUUGGGACAGGCGGAGCAAUGGUUCGACGUCAACAAGAGUGAAGUCACCACCUGGGGGAAGUAUGAUAAUGCGUUCCUCAAGAAGUUCUUUCCGAUGGGCAAAACCAGCGCCCUUCGUAGAAGGCUUUCGAGCUUCCAACAACAAGCAUUUCUGGCGAAAACACUUCAGUUGGAGAGAAGUCGUCGUCAAGAGGAAACCAUCCCAUCACGCAUGACAGAAUGACUACCUUUCAAUCACAAAUUGUGAUGAAUCAAUCAAGGUAUGUGAGAACCAACCCAAAACAUUUUAUGCAUUUCAAAUUCACCACAUCAUAUUUCUUUUCCAUCAUAUAUCUAGUGCUUUCUUGGGUAGCUCCUAGCCUUGAGCGGUAUUCGGGAGCCGUACCUGGUCUAGGUAGACAACAAUUUUAUUGUUAUCUAUCUAUUCGCUGCUCUUAGUCUAGCUUUGUGGUAGGCGAAAGUUAAACGGGAACAGCCCGGCUCAUAUAUCGGCUUUGUAAGUCGGUAUGAUGAUGACCUUUGGUUGGGCCACGCUACAAGAAAAAGCCAAAGCCUAGAGUUGCACACAUAUCACUUGUUCAAAUUCCAGCAUUGAAAACCAUAGCAUGUUUGUUUAAUCGCAUUCAAUCACAUCGCUUGCAUUGCUCGCAUAUAUAUAAAAAAAUGGUUCUCUGAUUUAUCAUUCAAUAUUCAUACAUCCAUUUCAAAUUGAUCUCAUGUCCCUCAUGAUCAUGCUAUUAUUAUCUAUAGUAGUAUGGUAGGGACUUGGACUAAUCCCUGCAGGAAUUCCUCAAAAAUCUAUGAGGGCAAGUCUUUGAGAUAAAUUUACAAAUGAGGUAAAAUUCUAUUUGGUGAACCUUGAAUGAUACCUUGAUCAAAAGAAACAAAAUGGACCUCGACGGCAUAGUGCAAACAUCCAUAUCCAUCUUCAAGAUUGGAUGAUGCACAACCAAGCUCAAUUGUCAAUGGAGGGGUCCUGCUCCAUGGACCUAAAACAUGGAGCCCUUGCUGAAGGUAAAUCAGUAGUUAUCCCAUAUUUACUUUUUGCAUUUCUUUACUUUUUCCAAUUGCAUGUUUACUUUGAAUUUUGCAUAUUUCAUUUCAACAAAAUAUUUAGCCAUAGUGAAUAAAAUCUUGAGAGAAGCUUGGCAUAAAAAUUUGAGCUUCUGGAGCCUCCAGAGUGGGGUCGGCCGACCCCACUUUGGACCCAUCUCCAGCAUUUUUCAUCUUUGCUAGCAACAUAGAGUAGCAACCAGCACUUGGAUGCUCAUGGAGCUCCAAUGUGGGGGUCGGCCGACCCCCAUAUUGGCCCCACUGGCAUCCUGCUGGCCACCACUUGAAUCACACUGAAAAUUCUAUGCUUGUUGCACCAUCAAAAGUUUGAAAAAGAAAUGGUCCCUUGAUUUAUCACUUUAAUCAUAAGAUGCUCUUUCAUCUUGGGGCCACCACUAGCUCAAAUUUCAGAAAAGUGGUCUCCUAGACAUGCUUUAAAUCACUUUAAACACGUCUCCACUUUUUGCAUUCAUCUUUCACCUUUCACAAAGCACUAAAUAUGAGAAUCUCAGAAAGCAUUUGGCAACUUUUGGUCCACACUUAGGCUUUACUUUUCCAGACAAUCAAUAACAUAAUGUUUAAAGCUGAAAAGUGCCUAGGUUGGGGGUCGGCCGACCCCCACUUUGGACCAUAUUUCAAAAAUUUUCAAACCAUGCUGCUAGAUUCCCUGCAUAAAGCUAAAAGCAACAUCAAGCAACUUGCAAAGUGCUUGAAGGGGGGUCGGCCGACCCCAAUAUUUUGGGUCCACCACUUGCCCUUCAAACCCUAUAAAUACCCUUGCAUUGUGAGCUCAACUCCACAUCCAAAACCACCAGAAACAUUUCGAGCUCACAAGCAUCCAUCUUUCUUCUUUGCCUCAAGUCCUCUCUCAAGUUUAGUUUAGUAGCUUUCAAAACCCAAAAACCCCAAAAAUAGUUUCCCUUGCAUAGUAGAAGUAGGAGUUUGGUUGUUCUCACUUGUAGCAAGAUGAAGAAGCAAUUCCUCAAGGCCUACAAGAAAGCCAUGGGAGAGAGAGCUCAUCCCAUAGCUCUCACCAUAGAAGAGCGGAGGGAGAAGGUCACCAUGGGAUGGUACCUUAUGCUCCUCCAACGAGGACAAGGGAGCCUGAGAGCGGCUUAAUGCUGAGUCCAGAUGAGAUGCAAAGGUAUCUCGCCCUCCGGGGGAGUUCCUUCUUGCACACCAACAUCAUCGACCCGGACCUUUUGGCCCACUCAGGUAUGGAUAUUGAAUUUGAAACUAUCUUUAAUGAAAUUGGAUGGACUAGUUUUUGGCAAGUUCAUGAACUUGGCAUAGAAUUGCUUACUAAGGAAUUUUUAUGCACCCUAAAAGUAACCAACAUUGGCAUAUCCUUCCGCAUGUGUGAACAAGAAUAUGACCUAAACUGGAGCAUGCUGAAUACUGCCUUAGGGUGUGAAUAUGAUUGUGAACUUGACUUAGAUCAAGCCACGCAUCUAUUCAAUAAAAAUGACUUUUGGAAAGCAAUUUCUAAUUCUGAUGACUGUUCAAAUCCUACACCCACUGAGAUUCAUAAUCCAACCCUACGCUUUCUUCAUGUGUGGAUAAUGUGCACUAUAUUCCCUGGCAUGGGAAUUGGAACUUUGAUAGAUGAUGAACUCCAACUUCUCUAUGCCAUGGUCUGCAAAAUCAAAGUCUCCCCUGCUAACUACUAGUAAUCACUGGAUUAAUUCUAUAGGGCAAGGGAGACCCAUCUUUUUCACAUCUUUCAUCACUCGUUUAGCUGAAACUCUUGAUGUGUUUGAGUCACACCAAUUUGAAAACAUUGGCUAUGAAAGAAAUGUGAUAGAUGAGAACUUCUUCAUUGCGGCUAACAUGCUCAUAAGAGCACCUGAUGGUGAGCUAAGAAUGAUUUAUCCGGGCUAUACAACUGAACUUCCUCUCCCUUGUGAGAGACGUCGGUUGUAUAGGGUUCGCACACUAACCGUCAGACUAGCCCGAGCGAGAAGUCAGAAUGUUGCAGGUACAUGUAGGAUGACAAGGAGGAUGGCGCAAGCCGCCCAAAUGGAGCAAGGAGGUCCUUCGCGCUUUGACGUCGAGGAGGGUGAGGAGGCUAUGUCCAUGGAUGCUUCAGAAUCCAUGGGACUGCCACCUAAUCCUCCACCACAUACUCCUCGCCCAAGGGCAAGAGCCAGGCGUCGCUAGCCCUCAGGUAUGGAUAUGCUAAUUAAUAGCAUGGGUGAACUACAGAUAGAUCAAGAGGCGACCCUGCAACUAGCAAAUCAGAAUGUCCAACAUAUCCGACGUGUGCGCGAGGAAGAUGCACAACGCUGGGCCGGAUGGUUCCAGCAGUUUCCGCCGCCACAGUGAGCAAAGACCAAGCUUGGGGGAGAUCCUCUCCCCCACCAAGGUAAGUCUUCUAACUUAGCAUUAUCUUGCAUUUAUUCUUAAUUUAAAAAGAAAAGAAUCAAUAAUUUAUAUCCUACUUAGUAUUUCCCUUUUUCAACCACGAUUAGUAUUUCCCUUUAUCACAUGUGCUUCAUGAAUGUUUGUCUUCCUCAUGGAAAUGAUGACUAGUUGCUUGUUACUAUUUCUCUAGUACCUAGUACACAACUUAGUAUUUCUCUAAGUAUGGAUCACUUAGCUGAUUUAAACCACCAUGAACCUAAAAACUUUGUGGGUUGCAAGUGCUAGAACUAAGUCUAAGUUGUUGUGGGACAUGAGAUAGUAAGACAAGAGCUGCUAAAAUAUUGUUCUAAGCAUGCAUGAUUACCAGAGAUUUAUUUCUAAAAUGAUCAAAACCUUAAUUGUUCCUCAAUGGUGAUGAAUUCCUACCACAAGCCACAUCUACUUUACAUGAUUGCAACCUCUCCACAUAAGCUAUUUGCUUUGUGUUGAUUGUCGUCAAGUCUUGUUGACCCUUGUUAAGAGACUUUUCAUACUUCUAAGAUCAAGAUCACGUACACACCACAUAUAUAUGCUACUUCUACACUGGAAGUACGCAACCACAUGCCUUUCGCAUCCACUAAAUAGGUUGCUCCAUGCUCUAAAUAUUAGAACAUCUCUCUAAGCAAUGUUUGGUAAAUGAGACAUCAAAAGGCUAGGCAAAAUGAAAUGAAAAGAUGGACAUGAACAAGUCCACAGAAAAAAAGAAGAAAACUGAGCACAUGAAAGCUCAUAAGAAAAAAAAUAAUAAUAAAGAAAAAAAAAUGCUAGCCAUGUCUCAAUAAAGGAAUAGAGAGAGUAUAUCAAAUAAAGGAGCAACCUAGCCCACCAUAUAUCACACACUUGCACAUCUUGAUCUGGGGGUAUGACACUUGUUUUCAAGGAUCCAAGCUUUGACUUCGCAGCACAUGCAAAGUAAGUAUGCUAUCUCUUUUCAUCCCUACCUUGAGCUCCACAUAAGCCUUUUAGAAGUAGGAUGAAUAGAGAAGGCAACUCUUAUCAUAUGCCUUGGUGAGAAUUCAUACACCAUUUGAGCGACAUGAGAGAACCAUAUGAGGAACAUUAGGUUUUCUUUUAAAAAUAUUACAAAACCUCUGGUAUGAAACUUGCUAGGAAUGAGAAAGUUAGUGCUUAAGUCAAACUGUUCUGUCUUUCAACCACCCAAGACAAAGGAAAAGCCAUAAGCCCCAUAAAGGACUAAGGUAAUACGGGUGAGUUUACAUAGCUAAAUUUUUCAUGCUAAGAGAAGAACUUUGUUGUACACAUAGUACUCUUGAAAUAUGAACAUAGUAACAAUAC
Molecule: long non-coding RNA, 8838 nt
Filed under: Sorghum bicolor (sorghum)
Lineage: Eukaryota; Viridiplantae; Streptophyta; Magnoliopsida; Poales; Poaceae
Description: long non-coding RNA (SBIC_LNC009689)
Source: RNAcentral